CUAGUACUCUCUCCGUCCUGAAUUACUUGUUAUAGAAAUGAUAAAAAUAAUAUAUCUAGAAUUAAAAUACGUCUAAAUGCAUUUCUUUCCGCGACAAGUAAUUCUGGACGGAGGGAGUAUUUC
This is a non-coding RNA of Triticum aestivum (bread wheat), 123 nucleotides long. The record is from Rfam. NCBI's taxonomy places the organism in Eukaryota, Viridiplantae, Streptophyta, Magnoliopsida, Poales, Poaceae.